This 506-nucleotide ribosomal RNA is filed under the name uncultured bacterium. RNAcentral's name for it is "partial 16S ribosomal RNA". It matches the Rfam family "Bacterial small subunit ribosomal RNA", at positions 29 to 523 of the family's 1533-position model. The record is from RNAcentral.
AGUGAACGCUGGCGGUAGGCCUAACACAUGCAAGUCGAACGGCAGCACAGGAGAGCUUGCUCUCUGGGUGGCGAGUGGCGGACGGGUGAGGAAUACAUCGGAAUCUACUUUUUCGUGGGGGAUAACGUAGGGAAACUUACGCUAAUACCGCAUACGACCUACGGGUGAAAGCAGGGGACCUUCGGGCCUUGCGCGAUUGAAUGAGCCGAUGUCGGAUUAGCUAGUUGGCGGGGUAAAGGCCCACCAAGGCGACGGUCCGUAGCUGGUCUGAGUGGAGGAUCAGCCACACUGGAACUGAGACACGGUCCAGGCUCCUACGGGAGGCAGCAGUGGGGAAUAUUGGACAAUGGGCGCAAGCCUGAUCCAGCCAUACCGCGUGGGUGAAGAAGGCCUUCGGGUUGUAAAGCCCUUUUGUUGGGAAAGAAAUCCAGCUGGCUAAUACCCGGUUGGGAUGACGGUACCCAAAGAAUAAGCACCGGCUAACUUCGUGCCAGCCGCCGCAGUAA